This 293-nucleotide long non-coding RNA is filed under the name Elaeis guineensis (African oil palm). RNAcentral describes it as "long non-coding RNA (EGUI_LNC012590)". Lineage: Eukaryota; Viridiplantae; Streptophyta; Magnoliopsida; Arecales; Arecaceae. The record is from RNAcentral.
UUCUCUUCUCAAGAGAAAGAAGAAUAUCUAAAGAAAAGAAGAACAAAAGAUCUCAUCUCUUUUCUUAUCUUUUUUCAUCCAACUCUUGGACUGAUCAUAGAGGAGAAAUCAUAUCCAACUCUUGGAUACCUUUGGAGGAGAAGAUAUAUCCAACUCUUGGAUAUCCAUGGAGGAGAAGGAAAAGAAAAAAUCAUGUCCAUCUCUUGGACAAAAGAGAGAGAAAGGGAAGGGGAAGAUAUCUUAACAACCAACUCUUGGUUGCAAAAGAAGAGAGCUCCAACCAACCUCACGCC